GAUGAACGCUGGCGGCGUGCCUAACACAUGUAAGUCGAACGUGAGGGUGCAGCAAUGUACCUGAAAGUGGCGAACGGGUGAGUAACACGUGGGUAACCUACCCUUGAGUGGGGGAUAACGAUUGGAAACGAUCGCUAAUACCGCAUACGACCUUUGAUACGGGAGUAUCGAAGAUGAAAGAUUUAUUGCUCAAGGAGGGGCCCGCGGUCGAUUAGCUAGUUGGUGGGGUAAUGGCCCACCAAGGCUGUGAUCGAUAGCUGGUCUGAGAGGAUGAUCAGCCACACGGGAACUGAGACACGGUCCCGACUCCUACGGGAGGCUG
This 322-nucleotide ribosomal RNA is filed under the name uncultured Chloroflexota bacterium. RNAcentral describes it as "bacterial SSU rRNA". It matches the Rfam family "Bacterial small subunit ribosomal RNA", at positions 28 to 351 of the family's 1533-position model. Lineage: Bacteria; Bacillati; Chloroflexota. The record is from RNAcentral.